This 492-nucleotide ribosomal RNA is filed under the name uncultured bacterium. RNAcentral describes it as "partial 16S ribosomal RNA". It matches the Rfam family "Bacterial small subunit ribosomal RNA", at positions 29 to 507 of the family's 1533-position model. The record is from RNAcentral.
AGUGAACGCUGGCGGUAGGCCUAACACAUGCAAGUCGAACGGCAGCACAGUAAGAGCUUGCUCUUACGGGUGGCGGGUGGCGGACGGGUGAGGAAUACAUCGGAAUCUACUUUUUCGUGGGGGAUAACGUAGGGAAACUUACGCUAAUACCGCAUACGACCUACGGGUGAAAGUAGGGGAUCUUCGGACCUUGCGCGAUUGAAUGAGCCGAUGUCGGAUUAGCUAGUUGGCGGGGUAAAGGCCCACCAAGGCGACGAUCCGUAGCUGGUCUGAGAGGAUGAUCAGCCACACUGGAACUGAGACACGGUCCAGACUCCUACGGGAGGCAGCAGUGGGGAAUAUUGGACAAUGGGCGCAAGCCUGAUCCAGCCAUACCGCGUGGGUGAAGAAGGCCUUCGGGUUGUAAAGCCCUUUUGUUGGGAAAGAAAAGCAGCAGGUUAAUACCCCGCUGUUCUGACGGUACCCAAAGAAUAAGCACCGGCUAACUUCGUG